This 443-nucleotide ribosomal RNA is filed under the name uncultured bacterium. RNAcentral's name for it is "partial 16S ribosomal RNA". It matches the Rfam family "Bacterial small subunit ribosomal RNA", at positions 338 to 795 of the family's 1533-position model. The record is from RNAcentral.
CCUACGGGUGACUGCAGUGGGGAAUAUUGGGCAAUGGGCGCAAGCCUGACCCAGCAACGCCGCGUGAAGGAAGAAGGCUCUCGGGUUGUAAACUUCUUUUAUCAGGGACGAAGCAAGUGACGGUACCUGAGGAAUAAGUCACGGCUAAAUACGUGCCAGCAGUCGCGGUAAUACGGAGGUGGCAGGAGUUAUCCGGAUUUACUGGGUGUAAAGGGCGUGUAGGCGGGAACGCAAGUCAGAUGUGAAAACCAUGGGCUCAACCUGUGGCCUGCAUUUGAAACUGUUUUUCUUGAGUGCUGGAGAGGCAGACGGAAUUCCUAGUGUAGCGGUGAAAUGCUUAGAUAUCAGGAGGAACACCGGUGGCGAAGGCAGUCUGCUGGACAGCAACUGACGCUGAGGCGCGAAAGCGUGGGGAGCAAACAGGAUUAGAUACCCGGGUAGUC